GAGGAAAGAGGGCGGCGGGCCGAAUACAGGCAAGUCGAGCGAACGGACGAGAAGCUUGCUUCUCUGAUGUUAGCGGCGGACGGGUGAGUAACACGUGGAUAACCUACCUAUAAGACUGGGAUAACUUCGGGAAACCGUAGCUAAUACCGGAUAAUAUUUUGAACCGCAUGGUUCAAAAGUGAAAGACGGUCUUGCUGUCACUUAUAGAUGGAUCCGCGCUGCAUUAGCUAGUUGGUAAGGUAACGGCUUACCAAGGCAACGAUGCAUAGCCGACCUGAGAGGGUGAUCGGCCACACUGGAACUGAGACACGGUCCAGACUCCUACGGGAGGCAGCAGUAGGGAAUCUUCCGCAAUGGGCGAAAGCCUGACGGAGCAACGCCGCGUGAGUGAUGAAGGUCUUCGGAUCGUAAAACUCUGUUAUUAGGGAAGAACAUAUGUGUAAGUAACUGUGCACAUCUUGACGGUACCUAAUCAGAAAGCCACGGCUAACUACGUG
Molecule: ribosomal RNA, 497 nt
Filed under: uncultured bacterium
Lineage: Bacteria
Description: partial 16S ribosomal RNA
Rfam family: Bacterial small subunit ribosomal RNA
Source: RNAcentral